Molecule: long non-coding RNA, 248 nt
Filed under: Hordeum vulgare
Lineage: Eukaryota; Viridiplantae; Streptophyta; Magnoliopsida; Poales; Poaceae
Description: long non-coding RNA (HVUL_LNC018422)
Source: RNAcentral
UCGAGUUCGCCGUGCCCAGUGACCCCAAGGAUCAAUGUUCACUGAACACAGAUACUGAAUAAUAGAGUCUUACAUCCAAGUACCGAAAUUAUUACAUCAAACGACCAGAAGGUCGGGUUUAAGAGCGAGGCCUAAGGCCAAAUUAAACAGAUACAUCGAGUAGAGGAAACUCGUAAGGGCUAAGCGGUGCCCAUGUCAUCAAGCCUACACCGACAGGCAUUCUGCCUUGGAAGCGUCCUAGAUCGCAG